This 365-nucleotide long non-coding RNA is filed under the name Lathyrus oleraceus (garden pea). RNAcentral's name for it is "Pisum sativum (pea) long non-coding RNA (PSAT_LNC037771)". Lineage: Eukaryota; Viridiplantae; Streptophyta; Magnoliopsida; Fabales; Fabaceae. The record is from RNAcentral.
AAUGGAAUGACCUCAAUUUCUAUUACACUUGAGUUUUACACCGUUACAUGAACUACAUACAUGACCAUUUUACAUCCCUGCCAUCUAUCAUCUCAUACAAUUGAAACAAAUGAAUUUCCAUUGAUUAUUCUGUUACAAUUAAGUCAUGAAGUACAUCAACCUUUGCUACAUACAUACAACAUCCACACAUUGAAACAAAUACACAUGCAUACAUGCAUUACACCAUCUCUCCGUACAUACACAAGAAAGUGAAAAAUAAAAAGAAGGAAAAUAGAAAUUCAAUUCUAUUACAUACAAUAUGAAAUAUUUGAAACACAUAAGCUUCAUGCUGCAGACUACACACCAACAACCAUGCCAUCACCAUC